This 89-nucleotide ribosomal RNA is filed under the name Geobacillus zalihae. RNAcentral's name for it is "partial 16S ribosomal RNA". The stretch from base 1 to 80 matches the Rfam family "Bacterial small subunit ribosomal RNA", at positions 1454 to 1533 of the family's 1533-position model. Lineage: Bacteria; Bacillati; Bacillota; Bacilli; Caryophanales; Anoxybacillaceae. The record is from RNAcentral.
CGCCGAAGGUGGGGCAAGUGAUUGGGGUGAAGUCGUAACAAGGUAGCCGUACCGGAAGGUGCGGCUGGAUCACCUCCUUUCUAAGGAGA